AUGGACAGGACCCACAGGAUCCUCUUCUUGGCGUCAGCAGCCACCGGUGCCCACUCCCAGGUGCAGCUGGUGCAGUUUGGGCCUGAGGUGAAGCAGCCUGUGGCCUCAGUGAAGGUCUUCUGCAAGGCUUCUGGUUACAGCUUUACCACCUAUGGUAUGAAUUGGGUGAGACAGGUCCCUGGAGAAGGGCUUGAGUGGAUGGGAUGGAUGAACAUCAACACUGGGAACCCAAUGUAUGCCCAGGGCUAAACAGGACGGUUUGUCUUCUCCAUGGACACCUCUGUCAGCACAGUGUACCUGCAGAUCAGCAGCCUAAAGGCUGAGGACACGGCCGUGCAUUACUGUAUGAGAGCCAUAGUGUGGACACCCACAUCCUGA
Molecule: non-coding RNA, 378 nt
Organism: Macaca mulatta (Rhesus monkey)
Lineage: Eukaryota; Metazoa; Chordata; Mammalia; Primates; Cercopithecidae
Source: RefSeq, a predicted model, not a curated record